Non-coding RNA from Podarcis lilfordi (Lilford's wall lizard), 73 nucleotides. NCBI's taxonomy places the organism in Eukaryota, Metazoa, Chordata, Lepidosauria, Squamata, Lacertidae. The record is from the annotation of a GenBank genome assembly.
GCUGAGAUAGCUCACUUGGUAGAGCAUGAGACUCUUAGUCUCGUGGGCAUGGGUUUGAGCCCCAUGUUGGGCA